This 716-nucleotide ribosomal RNA is filed under the name Funneliformis geosporum. Its description in RNAcentral is "SSU rRNA". It matches the Rfam family "Eukaryotic small subunit ribosomal RNA", at positions 383 to 1099 of the family's 1831-position model. Lineage: Eukaryota; Fungi; Glomeromycota; Glomeromycetes; Glomerales; Glomeraceae. The record is from RNAcentral.
CCGGAGAGGGAGCCUGAGAAACGGCUACCACAUCCAAGGAAGGCAGCAGGCGCGCAAAUUACCCAAUCCCGACACGGGGAGGUAGUGACAAUAAAUAACAAUACAGGGUUCUUUUGGAUCUUGUAAUUGGAAUGAGUACAAUUUAAAUCUCUUAACGAGGAACAAUUGGAGGGCAAGUCUGGUGCCAGCAGCCGCGGUAAUUCCAGCUCCAAUAGCGUAUAUUAAAGUUGUUGCAGUUAAAAAGCUCGUAGUUGAAUUUCGGGAUCAAUGUUUCGGUCAUGCCGUUGGUAUGUACUGAUAUUAUUGAUUUCUCACCUUCUAAAGAACCGUAAUGCCAUUAAUUUGGUGUCACGGGGAAUUAGGACUGUUACCUUGAAAAAAUUAGAGUGUUUAAAGCAGGCUCACGCUUGAAUACAUUAGCAUGGAAUAAUGAAAUAGGACAUCCGAUUCUAUUUUGUUGGUUUCUAGGAUCGAUGUAAUGAUUAAUAGGGAUAGUUGGGGGCAUUAGUAUUCAAUUGUCAGAGGUGAAAUUCUUGGAUUUAUUGAAGACUAACUACUGCGAAAGCAUUUGCCAAGGAUGUUUUCAUUAAUCAAGAACGAAAGUUAGGGGAUCGAAGACGAUCAGAUACCGUCGUAGUCUUAACCAUAAACUAUGCCGACUAGGGAUCGGAUGAUGUUAAUUUUUUAAUGACUCAUUCGGCGCCUUACGGGAAACA